GCGGGGCCCGCCUCCCCGACGCGUCUCUUCGGAUGCCAUUGGCUGCAUCCACAGUGUGGCCGAAAGCCUGGCCGUCGAUUGGGCGUUCGGGCCGUCAAAUCCCGCGCUGCCCACCCAGAGGUUUGGUUGAGACUGCAGGUGGCGGCGGAGGUGCCUUAGAGACUUCUGGCAGGGCCAGAGGAGACCUAAGCGCCACCGUGCGCCAGGACAUGGAAACUGCAUCUCCGGCGCCAGACACCUGCCCGCAGGUUCUCUUGGCUCCGCGUCUGACACUCCAGACACCUGCUGGCAUCCACCCGCACCUCACCCCACCCCGCAUCCCCCCCAGCUCCGGAACCAAAAGUCAAGGGCUAUAAUUUCUCCAAAUACCUCCCUCAAGUGCGACAGAGACGCAACUCUCCCAAACGAGCAUCCUUUUGAACCACCUCGAAUGCAGUCCCUGUCUUCAUCUUGCGGAAAUGGUCUCAGCUCGGUGCUAUCCCUCAUAGAGGAUCUAGUCACAAAAUUUCAAGAAUCCACCAAAACACAGCAUGAUUUGCCUGCUCAGUCCUCUUCAGGAAAGAUCACAAGCAUGCAAAACUACCAACAAGUAGUAAGCCCGAUAAAUAUUACCUUUCCUCUUCUACUGACAAGGCCAUCCUUGAAAAUAAGGAACACCUCACUAAUAUAAAAUUCUUUAAGGCAUUCAAGUUCCAGCUCUCCUGUGCAACCUUGGACAAGUUUCCCAUCCUCUCUAAGCCUAUUUCCUUGUCUGGUGAAAACAAAAGAGAGGGUCUUGCUGAAUCGCCAAAGAUGGCCUUGAAUUUCCCCUGCUGAAGGCUCCAGAGUUACUGGGAUUACAGGCAUGCAUCCCUGUGCCUGACAAGUUUUAAGAAGAAUCAUGUAAACUUACAGCUGCUACUGUGAGCAUAUCAAAAACUUUGGUACAGUAUCUCCAAGCAUUAGCAUUUCCAUAUUUGGUUUGGCACUCAUC
Molecule: non-coding RNA, 973 nt
Organism: Ictidomys tridecemlineatus (thirteen-lined ground squirrel)
Lineage: Eukaryota; Metazoa; Chordata; Mammalia; Rodentia; Sciuridae
Source: RefSeq, a predicted model, not a curated record